This 427-nucleotide ribosomal RNA is filed under the name uncultured Chromatiaceae bacterium. RNAcentral's name for it is "partial 16S ribosomal RNA". It matches the Rfam family "Bacterial small subunit ribosomal RNA", at positions 355 to 774 of the family's 1533-position model. Lineage: Bacteria; Pseudomonadati; Pseudomonadota; Gammaproteobacteria; Chromatiales; Chromatiaceae. The record is from RNAcentral.
UGGGGAAUAUUGGACAAUGGGCGCAAGCCUGAUCCAGCAAUGCCGCGUGUGUGAAGAAGGCCUGCGGGUUGUAAAGCACUUUCAGUGGGGAAGAAAUGCCUGGGGUGAAUAGCCUUAGGUGUUGACGUUACUCACAGAAGAAGCACCGGCUAACUCCGUGCCAGCAGCCGCGGUAAUACGGAGGGUGCAAGCGUUAAUCGGAAUCACUGGGCGUAAAGCGCACGUAGGCGGUUGAGUCAGUCCGAUGUGAAAGCCCUGGGCUUAACCUGGGAAUGGCAUUGGAUACUGCUCAGCUAGAGGCUGAUAGAGGGGGGUGGAAUUCCAGGUGUAGCGGUGAAAUGCGUAGAGAUCUGGAGGAACACCAGUGGCGAAGGCGGCCCCCUGGCUCAAGCCUGACGCUGAGGUGCGAAAGCGUGGGGAGCAAACA